RNAcentral lists this unclassified non-coding RNA (363 nucleotides) under fungal sp. RNAcentral's name for it is "partial internal transcribed spacer region". The stretch from base 1 to 46 matches the Rfam family "Eukaryotic small subunit ribosomal RNA", at positions 1786 to 1831 of the family's 1831-position model. Lineage: Eukaryota; Fungi. The record is from RNAcentral.
AAGUCGUAACAAGGUUUCCGUAGGUGAACCUGCGGAAGGAUCAUUAACACGUAUCCAACGUUAAACCCCCCUGUGAAUUUUAUCGCAGCUCUUGCAGAUGCCGGUAAGUUUGCAAUCCCUGGUAAAUCAUUGUUGAACAGAUUUUGAUUCAGGGACCUCUAACACCGACAGCUGCAAUUCGAGCGCUUGUGCAAGUGGCCUGGUUUCCCCAAGCUGCCAGUGUCUGAAAGUGUCGCUGGUUCCGGUGACCGGGCUGCUGUGGCUAUAUGCCCCCUAUAUUUACCCCACUACCUGAACUUGGGUCGCAGGAAACUGCUUCCCCUUAAAUCUGAACAACUGUUAACAAUGGAUAUCUUGGUUCUC